GGGCCUACGGGAGGUAGCAGUGAGGAAUAUUGGUCAAUGGUCGGGAGACUGAACCAGCCAAGCCGCGUGAGGGAGGAAGGUACAGAGUAUCGUAAACCUCUUUUGUCAGGGAACAAAGGCGGGGACGUGUCCCCGGAUGAGUGUACCUGAAGAAAAAGCAUCGGCUAACUCCGUGCCAGCAGCCGCGGUAAUACGGAGGAUGCGAGCGUUAUCCGGAUUUACUGGGUGUAAAGGGUGCGUAGGCGGGUGGGCAAGUCAGAAGUGCAAUCCAUGGGCUUAACCC
RNAcentral lists this ribosomal RNA (283 nucleotides) under uncultured bacterium. RNAcentral describes it as "partial 16S ribosomal RNA". It matches the Rfam family "Bacterial small subunit ribosomal RNA", at positions 335 to 615 of the family's 1533-position model. The record is from RNAcentral.